This is a small nucleolar RNA of Oryctolagus cuniculus (rabbit), 81 nucleotides long. Its record names the gene SNORD115. It matches the Rfam family "Small nucleolar RNA SNORD115". Rfam says of the family: HBII-52 is a member of the C/D class of snoRNAs, which contain the C (UGAUGA) and D (CUGA) box motifs. NCBI's taxonomy places the organism in Eukaryota, Metazoa, Chordata, Mammalia, Lagomorpha, Leporidae. The record is from Ensembl.
GGGUCAACAAUGAGACCUCAUACUGUCUCAAAGAGAGAUGAUAACUCAAAAAUCAUGCUCAUUAGCAUUAUUCUGAGGCCU